Long non-coding RNA from Haliotis rubra (blacklip abalone), 596 nucleotides. RefSeq lists it as uncharacterized. The record is from RefSeq and is a predicted model, not a curated record. The transcript has 3 exons. Lineage: Eukaryota; Metazoa; Mollusca; Gastropoda; Lepetellida; Haliotidae.
CAGCAACAUCACGGCGGGGGACACCAGACAUUGGCAAUUUAGCGAGUGAGUGAGUCUGGUUUUAUGCCGCUUUGUAGUGUAGUGCCGUGGUGUGAAAUGAUGUUGUGUACUUCAGUGAUCUAAGAUUAUGUCAUGUUUUGUGCAGUGGUUUGGAAAUAUAUCGUGUGUGUAGUGAUUUGUCAUAAAUCAUGUGAGGUGCAGUGAAGUGAAGAGAUGUCAUGUGAGGUAAAAAGCUUUUACGAGUAGUUCAGUGAUGUGAAGAGAUGGCAUGUAUAGUGUAGUGAAGUGAGAGAUAGUACGAGUAGUGCAGUGAUGUUAUGUGUAGUGUAGUGAAGUGAAAAAUAUUACGAGUAGUACAGUGAUUUGUAGUGAAGCGAUGUGAAGAGAUGUCAUGUGUAGUGUAGUGAAGUGAAAAUAUUACGAGUAGUACAGUGAUGUGAAGAGAUGUCAUGUGUAGUGUAGUGAAGUGAAAAGUAUUACGAGUAGUACAGUGAUGUGAAGAGAUGUCAUGUGUAGUGUAGUGAAGUGAAAAGUAUUACGAGUAGUACAUGAUGUGAAGAGAUAUCAUGUGUAGUACAGUGAUGUGAAGAGAUGUC